Molecule: ribosomal RNA, 646 nt
Filed under: uncultured fungus
Lineage: Eukaryota; Fungi
Description: eukaryotic LSU rRNA
Rfam family: Eukaryotic large subunit ribosomal RNA
Source: RNAcentral
UUGACCUCGGAUCAGGUAGGAAUACCCGCUGAACUUAAGCAUAUCAAUAAGCGGAGGAAAAGAAACCAACAGGGAUUGCCCCAGUAACGGCGAGUGAAGCGGCAACAGCUCAAAUUUGAAAUCUGGCCCCUCCGGGUCCGAGUUGUAAUUUGUAGAGGAUGCUUUUGGUGAGGUGCCGCCCGAGUUCCCUGGAACGGGACGCCACAGAGGGUGAGAGCCCCGUCUGGCUGGCCACCGAGCCUCUGUAAAGCUCCUUCGACGAGUCGAGUAGUUUGGGAAUGCUGCUCAAAAUGGGAGGUAUAUGUCUUCUAAAGCUAAAUAUUGGCCAGAGACCGAUAGCGCACAAGUAGAGUGAUCGAAAGAUGAAAAGCACCUUGAAAAGAGGGUUAAACAGUACGUGAAAUUGUUGAAAGGGAAGCGCUUGUGACCAGACUUGGGCGCGGCGGAUCAUCCGGGGUUCUCUCCGGUGCACUUCGCCGCGUUCAGGCCAGCAUCAGUUCGUCGCGGGGGAAAAAGGCUUCGGGAACGUGGCUCCUCCGGGAGUGUUAUAGCCCGUUGCAUAAUACCCUGCGGUGGACUGAGGACCGCGCAUCUGCAAGGAUGCUGGCGUAAUGAUCACCAGCCGACCCGUCUUGAAACACGGACC